RNAcentral lists this ribosomal RNA (292 nucleotides) under uncultured bacterium. RNAcentral's name for it is "partial 16S ribosomal RNA". It matches the Rfam family "Bacterial small subunit ribosomal RNA", at positions 775 to 1067 of the family's 1533-position model. The record is from RNAcentral.
GGAUUAGAUACCCUGGUAGUCCAUGCCGUAAACGAUGAUUACUAGGUGUUGGAGGAUUGACCCCUUCAGUGCCGCAGUUAACACAAUAAGUAAUCCACCUGGGGAGUACGACCGCAAGGUUGAAACUCAAAGGAAUUGACGGGGGCCCGCACAAGCAGUGGAGUAUGUGGUUUAAUUCGAAGCAACGCGAAGAACCUUACCAGGUCUUGACAUCCGAUGCAUAGUGCAGAGAUGCAUGAAGUCCUUCGGGACAUCGAGACAGGUGGUGCAUGGUUGUCGUCAGCUCGUGCCG